AAAAACAUCGCUCUUUGCUCAAUUAGUAUAAAGAGUCGUGCCUGCCCAGUGAUUUAUAUUUUAACGGCCGCGGUACUCUGACCGUGCAAAGGUAGCAUAAUCAUUUGCCUUAUAAUUGAAGGCUAGUAUGAAUGGUUUGACAAGAAUAGAGCUGUCUCUAUACAAAUUUUAUAGAAUUUGGUUUUUAGGUGAAGAAACCUGAAUAAAAUUGAAAGACAAGAAGACCCUAUCGAGCUUAAAAUAAGUUUUUCGAUUUAUGUUAAAAUCUAUUCCGUAAAAAAAUUUUGGUUGGGGCGACUAAGGAACAUAAAAAGCUUCCUAUAAAAUAUAUAAAUUAUAGAAUCUUGAUCCAAAAGUUUUGAUUAACAGAAUUAGUUACCGUAGGGAUAACAGCAUAAUCUUUUUUGAGAGUUCUUAUCGAAAAAAAGGUUUGUGACCUCGAUGUUGGACUAGGAUACCCAGAUAGGUGCAGAAGCCUUCAAAGGUUGGUCUGUUCGACCAUUAACAUCCUACGUGAUCU
Molecule: ribosomal RNA, 520 nt
Filed under: Kerkia sp. BH_Klisa_1587
Lineage: Eukaryota; Metazoa; Mollusca; Gastropoda; Littorinimorpha; Hydrobiidae
Description: partial large subunit ribosomal RNA
Rfam family: Bacterial large subunit ribosomal RNA
Source: RNAcentral